UUGGUGUGGUUGUUGCUGGCCCUCUCGGGGGCAUGUGCACACCCACCAUCCUCAUCUCUCCACCUGUGCACCUCUUGUAGACCUGGAUUGACUUUCCGAGGCAACUCGGUCGGGAAGAUUGCUGCGCUCUGUGAGCCAGCUUUCUUUGCAUGUCCAGGCCUAUGUUUUUCAUAUACCCCUAUAGAAUGUAACAGAAUGUAUCAUUGGGCCUUGUGCCUAUAAACCUUAUACAACUUUCAGCAACGGAUCUCUUGGCUCUCGCAUCGAUGAAGAACGCAGCGAAAUGCGAUAAGUAAUGUGAAUUGCAGAAUUCAGUGAAUCAUCGAAUCUUUGAACGCACCUUGCGCUCCUUGGUAUUCCGAGGAGCAUGCCUGUUUGAGUGUCAUUAAAUUCUCAACCUUAUUAACUUUUGUUGAUAAUGGAUUGGAUUGUGGGGGUUUCUUUUGCUGGCUUCUUCACAGAGAUCAGCUCCCCUUAAAUGCAUUAGCUGGUGCCCCGCGUGGACCAUCUAUUGGUGUGAUAAUUAUCUACGCCGUGGAUGUCUGCAAUCAUAUGGGUUUCGCACUGCUUCUAACCGUCUGUUCAUUCGGACAAUACAUGACAAUUUGACCUCAAAUCAGGUAGGACUACCCGCUGAACUUAAGCAUAUCAAUAAGCGGAGGAAAAGAAACUAACAAGGAUUCCCCUAGUAACUGCGAGUGAAGCGGGAAAAGCUCAAAUUUAAAAUCUGGCGGUCUCCGGCCGUCCGAGUUGUAAUCUAGAGAAGUGUUAUCCGCGCUGGAC
This 783-nucleotide ribosomal RNA is filed under the name Alnicola umbrina. RNAcentral describes it as "eukaryotic LSU rRNA". The stretch from base 232 to 385 matches the Rfam family "5.8S ribosomal RNA". Lineage: Eukaryota; Fungi; Basidiomycota; Agaricomycetes; Agaricales; Hymenogastraceae. The record is from RNAcentral.